AGCAGCCGCGGUAAUUCCAGCUCCAAUAGCGUAUAUUAAAGUUGUUGCAGUUAAAAAGCUCGUAGUUGAAUUUCGGGAUUAGUACGUUGGUCGUGCCUUAGGUACGUACUGGUGUUACUGGUUCCUACCUUCUGACGAACCAUCAUGUCAUUAAUUUGGUGUGGCGGGGAAUCAGGACUGUUACUUUGAAAAAAUUGAGUGUUUAAAGCAGGCUCGCGCUUGAAUACAUUAGCAUGGAAUAAUGAAAUAGGACGUUGACCCUAUUUUGUUGGUUUCUAGGAUUGACGUAAUGAUUAAUAGGGAUAGUUGGGGGCAUUAGUAUUCAAUUGUCAGAGGUGAAAUUCUUGGAUUUAUUGAAGACUAACUACUGCGAAAGCAUUUGCCAAGGAUGUUUUCAUUAAUCAAGAACGAAAGUUAGGGGAUCGAAGACGAUCAGAUACCGUCGUAGUCUUAACCAUAAACUAUGCCGACUAGGGAUCGGAUGAUGUUAAUUUUUAUGUACUCUAUUCGGUCGCCGUUA
RNAcentral lists this ribosomal RNA (520 nucleotides) under uncultured Glomus. Its description in RNAcentral is "SSU rRNA". It matches the Rfam family "Eukaryotic small subunit ribosomal RNA", at positions 569 to 1091 of the family's 1831-position model. Lineage: Eukaryota; Fungi; Glomeromycota; Glomeromycetes; Glomerales; Glomeraceae. The record is from RNAcentral.